AUACCAGCGUUGAAGGUAUACCGGUAAGGAGUGCUGGAGCGGUAUGAAGUGAGCAUGCAGGAAUGAGUAACGAUAAGAUAUAUGAGAAUUGUAUCCGCCGUAAAUCUAAGGUUUCCUACGCGAUGGUCGUCAUCGUAGGGUUAGUCGGGUCCUAAGCCGAGUCCGAAAGGGGUAGGUGAUGGCAAAUUGGUUAAUAUUCCAAUACCGACUCAUGGAGCGUGAUGGGGGGACGCAUAGGGUUAAGCGAGCUAGCUGAUGGAAGCGCUAGCUAAGGGCGUAGAUUGGAGGGAAGGCAAAUCCACCUCUGUAUUUGAAACCCAAACAGGCUCUUUGAGUCCUUUUUAGGACAAAGGGAGAAUCGCUGAUACCGUCGUGCCAAGAAAAGCCUCUAAGCAUAUCCAUAGUCGUCCGUACCGCAAACCGACACAGGUAGAUGAGAUGAGUAUUCUAAGGCGCGUGAAAGAACUCUGGUUAAGGAACUCUGCAAACUAGCACCGUAAGUUCGCGAUAAGGUGUGCCACAGCGAUGUGGUCUCAGCAAAGAGUCCCUCCCGACUGUUUACCAAAAACACAGCACUUUGCCAACUCGUAAGAGGAAGUAUAAGGUGUGACGCCUGCCCGGUGCUCGAAGGUUAAGAGGAUGCGUCAGUCGCAAGAUGAAGCGUUGAAUUGAAGCCCGAGUAAACGGCGGCCGUAACUAUAACGGUCCUAAGGUAGCGAAAUUCCUUGUCGGUUAAAUACCGACCUGCAUGAAUGGCGUAACGAGAUGGGAGCUGUCUCAACCAGAGAUUCAGUGAAAUUGUAGUGGAGGUGAAAAUUCCUCCUACCCGCGGCAAGACGGAAAGACCCCGUGGACCUUUACUACAACUUAGCACUGCUAAUGGGAAUAUCAUGCGCAGGAUAGGUGGGAGGCUUUGAAGUAAGGGCUUUGGCUCUUAUGGAGCCAUCCUUGAGAUACCACCCUUGAUGUUUCUGUUAGCUAACUGGCCUGUGUUAUCCACAGGCAGGACAAUGCUUGGUGGGUAGUUUGACUGGGGCGGUCGCCUCCUAAAAAGUAACGGAGGCUUGCAAAGGUUGGCUCAUUGCGGUUGGAAAUCGCAAGUUGAGUGUAAUGGCACAAGCCAGCCUGACUGUAAGACAUACAAGUCAAGCAGAGACGAAAGUCGGUCAUAGUGAUCCGGUGGUUCUGUGUGGAAGGGCCAUCGCUCAAAGGAUAAAAGGUACCCCGGGGAUAACAGGCUGAUCUCCCCCAAGAGCUCACAUCGACGGGGAGGUUUGGCACCUCGAUGUCGGCUCAUCGCAUCCUGGGGCUGGAGCAGGUCCCAAGGGUAUGGCUGUUCGCCAUUUAAAGCGGUACGCGAGCUGGGUUCAGAACGUCGUGAGACAGUUCGGUCCCUAUCUGCCGUGGGCGUAGGAAAGUUGAGGAGAGCUGUCCCUAGUACGAGAGGACCGGGAUGGACGUGUCACUGGUGCACCAGUUGUUCUGCCAAGAGCAUCGCUGGGUAGCUACACACGGAUGUGAUAACUGCUGAAAGCAUCUAAGCAGGAAGCCAACUCCAAGAUGAACUUUCCCUGAAGCUCGCACAAAGACUAUGUGCUUGAUAGGGUAGAUGUGUGAGCGCAGUAAUGCGUUUAGCUGACUACUACUAAUAGAGCGUUUGGCUUGUUUU
Molecule: ribosomal RNA, 1669 nt
Filed under: Helicobacter pylori Hp A-27
Lineage: Bacteria; Pseudomonadati; Campylobacterota; Epsilonproteobacteria; Campylobacterales; Helicobacteraceae
Description: bacterial LSU rRNA
Rfam family: Bacterial large subunit ribosomal RNA
Source: RNAcentral